This 209-nucleotide long non-coding RNA is filed under the name Elaeis guineensis (African oil palm). RNAcentral's name for it is "long non-coding RNA (EGUI_LNC048306)". Lineage: Eukaryota; Viridiplantae; Streptophyta; Magnoliopsida; Arecales; Arecaceae. The record is from RNAcentral.
GAGAAGCGGACCUUCCGCGACCAUGGAAUUCAAAAAAUUUAUGAAUGUAUUACCGAUAACUUUACCUUAAAUAAAAGUUUCAUAUUCGCAUAUCUUUUCUUUUGGCAUGAGCUUAUAACGACAGGGAGUAGCUCCUUCAGACAAUCGAAACUAAGCAUGUCAGGAACAAGAGGAGAACCUCGUCCCGACACAAACGAAGGCCCGAUUAU